UCGGGGCGUAGCGCAGCUUGGUAGCGCACUACUUUGGGGUAGUAGGGGUCGUGAGUUCGAAUCUCGCCGCUCCGAU
Molecule: transfer RNA, 76 nt
Filed under: Chroococcus sp. FPU101
Lineage: Bacteria; Bacillati; Cyanobacteriota; Cyanophyceae; Chroococcales; Chroococcaceae
Description: tRNA-Pro
Rfam family: tRNA
About the family: Transfer RNA (tRNA) molecules are approximately 80 nucleotides in length.
Source: RNAcentral